This 420-nucleotide ribosomal RNA is filed under the name Triticum aestivum (bread wheat). RNAcentral describes it as "partial small subunit ribosomal RNA". The record is from RNAcentral. Lineage: Eukaryota; Viridiplantae; Streptophyta; Magnoliopsida; Poales; Poaceae.
AUGAGCAUUCUUCAUGGUUUCGGGGAAGCAACAGGCCUCAAGAUAAAUCCCAGCAAAUCGUCUACGACGCCCAUUCGCUAUGAGGAUAUCAACAUGGCUAAGGUUUUGCGGAGCUUUGGAGGGCAAACCAAAUCCUUCCUGAUAACCUAUCUUGGGCUGCCAAUCAUGCCAUGAAGACUCAGGCUGGUGCACCUCCAAUUCAUUAUUGAUCGCAUCCGAUCUCGGUUGGCAGGGUGGAAGAUGAAGCUCCUAACCAUUGUAGGACGAUGUGUUCUCGUAUGUGCGGUCUUGACUUCUUUGCCAACCUUCACCCUCACUGCUCUACGGGUGCCCAAGAAGCUUCUAAAGGAGGUCGACAAGUCUAGAGAAGAUUCCUUUGGGUGCAUGAUGAGGAGAUCGCCGGGGGCAAAUGCAAAGUAA